RNAcentral lists this long non-coding RNA (1228 nucleotides) under Ursus americanus (American black bear). RNAcentral describes it as "lncRNA (ENSUAMG00000000720.1)". The record is from RNAcentral. Lineage: Eukaryota; Metazoa; Chordata; Mammalia; Carnivora; Ursidae.
GCGAAGCUGUGGGCUGCCACGGGGUGGGGUCGGCCAGGCUUCUCUGUGCCCCCGGCUGGGUUGCCUUUUCUGUAGGGGUGCGCUGAGAGUGCUGGGGGCUCGGGAAGGACUGAUGAAGGUGACAUGACCAGAAUGUCCUUUUUUCUCUGUCACUUGUCUGUUUCAGCACCUUUCGUAUAAAAGCCCACACUACCCUUUGUAUGCCGACCUUUGUACCGGGAGCGCGUGUUACUACUUUCUCCAUUAAAAACCAAAAUGAACUGAGCAUAAACGUCAGCUGCACAGGUUCUGCUCUCGCUGCUGACAGGGCGGGCCAGCUCUGCUGGUGGCUUGGGGGACUGCCACCUGGGGGAGAGGUAAGCAGAGUCACACACUGGGGGAUCUGGCAGCAGACCAAGGGGUAGGCUGACCCUGGCAGGUGGCCCUCAGUGGCUAACCUCUGUUGAUUAAUAUGUGACACAUGUUUUCCAUCCUGGUGGGACAGGAAGCAGAGUGCCAGCUAACACCACCUCCUACCACAUCCGUCCAUCCCAGUGAUGAUGGCCCGGUGUGGAGGUGGAGGUCAGCUCCCCGCCGGGCCCUCCUGUUGUAAGGGGAGGGGAGUCCAAGUGCGACGACCCUGCUUUGCACCAUCUUCUUCGGCCUGUUGGUGCCCAGUGGGGGAGAUCGGCUCCCUGCCAGGCCCUGCCGAACUGUGACGGUGGGGGUGGCUUUUCCACUGGUGUCUGGCCUAAGUAAAGCAGGUGUUUCCAAACAGAUGUUUCUGUUGUUAGGUCACCGUAAGGUUAGGAACAGUUCUGAAGACCUUCUCAGUCCUCACACCAAUACUAAAUGGGGAGUGGGGUCCCAAGACCCCCCUCAGGUUGGAUAAUUCACUGGAAGGACACGCGGAGCUCACGGGAAGGUAUUGUACUCACCGUUACGGUUCAUCACAGCAAAGGAUUCAGCUUACAAGCCAGCAGAAGAGACGCAGGGGAAGAGUUGUCCCCUCCCAGGGGAGGUCUGGACAACACCGACUCCAGCUUCCACUGAUGAGGGACCGCGUGCGUGGAGUCCUCCCCCCACGUCUUCGUGUCCAGCCUCUCCUGGGGCUUUGUCAUCAAACGGUUGACUCCCCACAGGGCUGACCUCAACCUCCAGCCCCUCUGAGGUCGGGCUGACACUGGGACCCAAAGCCCCUCCAGCCGCCAAUCACAUUGUUAGCCUAAGGCCCCCAGUAAACACUCCU